Molecule: transfer RNA, 63 nt
Filed under: Labidocera rotunda
Lineage: Eukaryota; Metazoa; Arthropoda; Copepoda; Calanoida; Pontellidae
Description: tRNA-Trp
Source: RNAcentral
AAGAGCCUAAGUUAAAUAAACUAUUUUGCUUCAAACAAAAAAAUAACCUAGAGUUGUCUCUUA